AUCCAGCUGACGAAUCUCAAGUGUGACGAAACGCGCUUCCUGCAU
RNAcentral lists this non-coding RNA (45 nucleotides) under Schistosoma mansoni. Lineage: Eukaryota; Metazoa; Platyhelminthes; Trematoda; Strigeidida; Schistosomatidae. The record is from RNAcentral.